CGGCCAAUCGCAGGUCCACUCAACCUCCGUGUUGAGUCAAGGAAAUGAGGAAAGUCCGGGCAACACAGGGCAAUCCGCUUCUUAAUGGGAAGUUAUUCGCAAGAGUAAAGUAGUGCAGAAGAAAACAACCGCCCGCCGCCCCUGCCUUUCUCCGUAAAGGACGACGGCGGGUAAGGGUGAGAAGGCGUGUGUAAGAGACCACCGCCCGCAUGGUGACAUCGCGGGGCGUGCACCUCGGAUGUUGAAAGUUCAAGUAAACCGAUGGCAGAGGGCGGCCCGCCCGAUGUAUCCCGCAUACUCCGUCGGAGGGUAGAACGAUAGAGCUUCACGGUGACGGGAGGCGUAGAUAAAUGAUUGGCAGGCAGCCCCGGCUGCCUACAGAACCCGGCUUAUAGUCCGACUA
RNAcentral lists this RNase P RNA (403 nucleotides) under uncultured Alloprevotella sp. Its description in RNAcentral is "Bacterial RNase P class A". It matches the Rfam family "Bacterial RNase P class A". From Rfam's summary of the family: Ribonuclease P (RNase P) is a ubiquitous endoribonuclease, found in archaea, bacteria and eukarya as well as chloroplasts and mitochondria. Its best characterised activity is the generation of mature 5'-ends of tRNAs by cleaving the 5'-leader elements of precursor-tRNAs. The record is from RNAcentral. Lineage: Bacteria; Pseudomonadati; Bacteroidota; Bacteroidia; Bacteroidales; Prevotellaceae.